RNAcentral lists this non-coding RNA (110 nucleotides) under Halobacillus karajensis. Its description in RNAcentral is "SAM-I sequence". It matches the Rfam family "SAM riboswitch aptamer (S box leader)". From Rfam's summary of the family: The SAM riboswitch is found upstream of a number of genes which code for proteins involved in methionine or cysteine biosynthesis in Gram-positive bacteria. The SAM riboswitch acts at the level of transcription termination control. Lineage: Bacteria; Bacillati; Bacillota; Bacilli; Caryophanales; Bacillaceae. The record is from Rfam by way of RNAcentral.
CUCUUAUCGAGAGCGGCAGAGGGAAUAGGCCCUACGACGCCCGGCAACCUUCAAGGAAAACCUUGAAAAGGUGCUACAUCCUACAGGUCAUGUGAUCUGAAAGAUAAGGG